Molecule: long non-coding RNA, 1267 nt
Organism: Populus nigra (black poplar)
Lineage: Eukaryota; Viridiplantae; Streptophyta; Magnoliopsida; Malpighiales; Salicaceae
Exons: 6
Source: RefSeq, a predicted model, not a curated record
AUUACUAUUACACUUGCACUUACACUUACACUUACACUACACUGUAAAUGAAAUAAAAAAACACUAAAACAGAUCAAGAAAUCCAUGCACACUGUGGAUUAAACAGUGUUUUUCAUUGAUAAUUUUAUUGAUCUCCCAGGAUAUUUGGUUUGUGUGUGCAGUUGAGUUCUUGGCAACGUGGCUUGUUCGUUAUCAUAAUUUUUUUUUUUCAUUUUUGUGUUUUUGUCUCAAAAUAGGGCGAUGGCCAGACACCAACAUACAAUUUUCCUUCUCAUGUCGAUCUUCCCUUUCCACCAACUAUCAUCAAACCCAUCGCCAGCCCUUGUUAUGCAUCACCAAACACAUCGCCUCUCCGUGUUAGAAAAAGGGUGGGGAUUUUUCCUUCGAGGAUCGGUUGUCAUCAAAGGAAGAAAGGAGCUAAAGGACAAAACAGCCAUGAGCAGUAGAUGAAAGCUACUUUUCAACUCGAAAGCCUUGGGGAAAUAUCUUGCAUUCUUGAUGAAAUAAUGGGAUGGGGCAAUAUUCUUAAAGCAUCGAAGAAUUGGCUGGAGAGAAAUAUCCAAGUCAUUGUUGUUACUGAUGGUGAGUGUAUCUUAGGGCUCGGGGAUCUUGGUUGCCAGGAAUGGGGAUCCCAAUAGGAAAACUCUCUCUAUAGACAACAUUAGGAGGAUUACGUCCCUUUGCAUUAAGUGCUUGCCUGUAGCAAUUGAUUUUGGCACAAACAAUGAGAAGUUGUUGAAUGAGGAGUUCUACAUUAGGCUUGGACAAAAGAGGGUAACUUUAUAGGUAGAGUAAUUUUACUUUAUUCCAUUUCCAAUCGACUGAUAUUUCUUCUUUUCUUUUCUAGAUUUUAAAUCAUUCUACAUCUCGAGAUUUUUGUUUUGUUAUUUGUUGUGGUUUAAGAAUAUGCAGAGCUUCUAGAUGAGUUUAGGACUGCAGUUAAAAAGAACUAUGGGGAAAAGUUCCGUAUACAGGUGCAAAAGCAAAGCUGACAUGUUGAUCUUCCUAGGUGGUCUCUUUUUUUGGACAAGAGAGGUAGAUCACCUUCUCCUUGUGGUUCCGAGAAGAUAUGAAAAUGACUUGGUUAAUGGACUUCGAAUAUUUUAUGCAUCUGAACAACAUAUCCGGCUUUAUUCUUGAAACGGAUCCUUGUUUUUCUACCAUAUGUACCUCUGCCCAAUGUUAUGUAAAACUUUGGUUGCCACAGCAUUUUUAAGUUGUAAAACAAGCGCAUUGGUUACAUUGAUGAAGGGUCAAAUUUAACUAA